This 2269-nucleotide long non-coding RNA is filed under the name Diabrotica virgifera virgifera (western corn rootworm). RNAcentral describes it as "uncharacterized LOC126887127". The record is from RNAcentral. Lineage: Eukaryota; Metazoa; Arthropoda; Insecta; Coleoptera; Chrysomelidae.
CUUGUGUUAUUUGACCAAGGUCAUCUGAUAGCAACCUGAUAAAAGGUCAAGCUGUCUAGUCAUUCAAGUUUUUGGACUUAAUGACCUAUUUCUUCUUAUUCCCAUAGGAAUAAAAUUACCUCCUCGUAUCUCUUGCUUCUUUUUUUUGACAUUGGUAGAUUGGUAGUAACACCACACUGUGUUUUUUUUAGCACCUACCAUGAAAUCUUAAAGCCACCCUACAACAACACCAAGGCCAGACCACACAGAGAGAAACAAUCAAUAGGCGACCAGCCUGGAUUAUUUCCACAUUUUCUUUUUUUGAGUACCUCCAGCUGCUUUCCAACAGUUUUGAGUACCUUCAGCUGCUUUCUACCAGUCUUCCUCUCCUGUACCUCCAGCAGGACAGCUGCUAGCGAGAGUUAGCACCCUUGGGUGCUCAUUACAUCAACUUCAAGAUUAGGAAAGAGUGGUUUGUUUGGGAACAUUUACUGUGCUCUUAUUAAAGACAGACUGGUUUUGUGAUAUUUAGUACAUUUUUUUUUAUAGUUCAAUUGCACACACAAUUUUCCUGCUUUAUAUUUUUUAUAGGUUUUUUUUUCUUUACAACAUAAUAUUUAAUUGAUAGCGUUCCCCAACACUCUGCAAUCUAUAAAGGUAUAAAUUUCUGAGCUCAGAUAUUUUCCCUGAUAAUAGUAGUCGGUACUCUUAUCUUGAUUAUUUUUAGGCUGUGUUCCACUUUUGUAUAAUUAUUUAAACUCAUUCCAUUAUUUUAGUAUAUGUUUAAUUAAAUUUUUAAAAAUUAACUUCACAUAUUAGUCAAAAUUGUAAUUAUUAACUUUAUUUAACUUGAACUUAUUAACUUUACUUAACUUUAACUUAUUAACUUUAUUUAACUUUAACUUUAAUUUAUUAAAUUCAUAUGAACUUCUGGAUUCUAAUCCCUCAGAUUAGUUUUUGGUUUCACUUGUUAUUAUUACUAUUAUAAACCACGAGUUAGGAAAAGGAUCUGUGUAUCCACUCGUAGGUUUAUUUAUUCAAUAAGGCUUGUGCCUGUCCCACUCACAGUGAGGUAUUUAUAUGUUAUAUAUAGUAUCAGGUAGUAUUUAAUUAUUAUAAACGUACAAUUAUUAUUUGGUGAGGGUUCUACUAACCUAGUUGUAAGUUGGGUUCUAGUUUACUGAAUGGGUAGACGGAUUACGGAUAUGAAAUUUAUACCAAUGAAUUCUGUUUCACUUACUGAUAAUUGUACAAUAAUUUUUUAUUGGGGGCGGGCGUUACUUUUCAUGUAAUUGCAAUUUAAAAUAUGUCUUAUUUUUAAAAAUCGCCGCCAUUUUCCGCCAUUAUAUACCAUGAAACAACAAGAAACGACAGGAAUGACAACCGUUUUAUAAAGGCAAGAAGGAGAAUCCUAACAGUGUUGCCAUAGUUAUAUAAAAUAUGUUUUCUUAUGAAAAUUACAAUUUUUCAAUUCUUAAAUAUGUCAUUUUACUUAUUCUGACGCAUUUUUAACACAAAAUGACUGCUUUAUUACAAGGGUCAGGUUAGUUCUGGUUAGGUUUCGUUACGUUAGGUUAGAUUACAUCAAGUUUAUUAAUAUUAUAGUGAUUUAUGAUUAUAUUUUAAUAAAUAAAUUCUGUGGGAUUCCCAGAAUACACUUUCAAGGUUGGAAUGAAAUUUUAUGUAUUUCAUGGUUAUGUACUGUCACUGAUUUCGGGAAACCAUGUUGCCAUGUGAAUGACAAAAGAUAAUUUCACAUGAAAACAUCGAUUUUUGUCCAUUUAAGCGUACCAUUGAUUUGGAAUAUUUAUGCAAACCUCUAAAUUUGGCAACUGUUUUUGAAAAAUUGGUAGAUGCAUGCAUUGACGCAUUUUUUAAACAGUUUAUUGUUAGUUUUUAGUUUGUUAGGUCGGUUGUUUGUGCUGCGCCCUGGAUUUGGGCGUUGUCUGUUGCAUCAUAUACAAAUUUGUGAAAGUGAAGUUAGUUUAUCGGGUUUGGACCGAAGGGUUAGGCCUUCCUCCUUUCAGACCGCCUGCGCCCAAUUGCAAUCUGCCCAGUUUAUCGUUAAAUAAAGGUGAAGUGAGACUAAAUGGUGUGUAGGUGUUACGAAAGUAAAUUUAAGUACAAUUAAGGUGUGGCUUUAAUACCUAUAUUCACAAAGAAAAGGCCUCUUUCGAAGCUAGUAAACUGCAGGCAGAGGAAAUAAAUAUGUUGGUGGCAACUUUUAUUACAUUUAAAGCCACGAAUUUGGCUUUGGACUCUCAAAUUGCAUCGAUCUAUAGCUGUUUUG